CUAGGCCCGUCCCUGAAGGGGGGUAGGGGGUGGCCGCCCCUGCGCCCUCGGAAUGGAAGGGCCCCCCACGUAUAUGUCUACUUCUCUACACCAGGCUUGAAAUUUCAUAGAGGAAAAAACAGCGAUGUUGCACGUUGUGACGUGAGGGGCCAAGUAGCAACUAGUACAAAAAGCAACCUAAUGGUCCUCGGCCACCAUAGCCACCAUCAACACGCCCCAGUAGACUAAACCGUCCCCAACCACAACUGUAAGGAUAGAUCUUGUGGUGAUCUGAACAGCAGGGAGAUUGGCGUUGUCAUAGGCCAACCGGCGACGGACAACGUGCUCUACAACAAAGCCCAACACUGCAAUGGGAGUGAGACCAGCCUAUCGACAAUGACGUUGGAUCCUAGGUACGACACGGACACACACUAUUCCACGCGAGCUGAGAAAGAGUAGAAGACGAGGGGAGAGAUACCGCCAACACUAACCACACCUCAAGGGGCUUUUCCCCGGCGGCGGAUAGGGAGGAGAGGGUUGAGGACGAGAGCUUGGUGCGGCAGUUUUUAUCACUGCAUAUAGUAUCUUUUACUUUGUCCAAUUGUUAUUUUACUCGUUCUGUUCUAAUUAAUUGAGCGGAAGCUCGAAGUAAAACAUACUUCUUGUGUGUCUCAUUGCUGAUCACACUAAAAUUUCCAGAGCAUUGGAAUCUGAUUUGGCAGUUGCCACUAGUAGAAAACAGGUCUUUCGUUUGACCCUUUAGUCCCGGUUUGGUUUUGAACCGGGACUAAUCUGACCAUUAGUCUCGAUUCGAGCGGCUGGAGGCCAAACGACUUUUGUCCCGGUUCGUUAAGGGCCUUUUGUCCCGGGUUGAGCCACGAACCGGGACUAAAGGGGUUGUGGCAACCGUUCG
RNAcentral lists this long non-coding RNA (892 nucleotides) under Hordeum vulgare. RNAcentral describes it as "long non-coding RNA (HVUL_LNC013784)". The record is from RNAcentral. Lineage: Eukaryota; Viridiplantae; Streptophyta; Magnoliopsida; Poales; Poaceae.